UCAAUCCAAUAAUAAGCAAGGUGUUUAGUCAUCUCAACCUAUUUUCACCGGUUGUUGUCAACUUUUAUUUGCUCUUCUUCCUUUUUAGCUCCAUGUGAGCUUGUAUUGAACCGCGGACAUUUUGGUACUUUUGCUUAAUAUAUUAUGGCUGCAUGAAUCAGUCUGAUGUAGAGGCCGGGGAUGACCCUCCUUUUCAAAAAUAAAGUCAAAGCGUCUUCGGCUCGCUUCAGUGCUUAUAGUUGUUGCUAGGUGGUCUACGAAUCUGGAUGUAGUUUUAUUAUUUCUUGUGUUCGUUGUAUUACCAUGAUUGGAGAUGGAUAGAUCAGAAGUUUCCCGCAAAAUAAUAAGAAUUGCCAUAAGUUUAGUAUCGGAAAAAGUUAGCAUGAAAAGAUCAAGACGUGCCUAGCUUAGCUUGUAAACAAUACAAUGGAGUGGUUGGUAAUCGGCCAGCAUUGUUUAUGUGACACUCCCCUUUUAAUCUGUUUUGCUGAUUGAGCACUGAGAGCCACGAUCUCAGUGGAUCGUUUAUUGCCAAAGUGAAUGUUCGGAAGGUCCCAACCCCGUGAAUUACAAUAAUCAGGUAGUACAAUGAUAGGUCUGCUCUUGACGUCUUCUUGGUGAGCAUAAAAUAGGCCAAAGAAUACGAGUGACAUGCAACUAAGUAUUGUAAUGACGUAGUACAAUAAUCAGGUAGAACAUACUGUGUUUCUUCUCUCCGAGAGAUGGCCGGACAUGCGGGCAGAUCCAGUGUUCCUCCAAAAAAAAGUCCAUGUUGCCUUCAAGUGAGACGGAACUGUUAUUUUCAACAAAUAUACUCCGUGUCAUGGCACACCACCUUGCAGGUUAUUAUCAGACAGAUCCAGAUGGGUGAGCUGCUUUAAGCCGCCAAGCUCUAUUGGGAUGAAGCCCCAAAAAUUGUUUCGCUGAAGGAUUAGGUAUUCUAACUGUUCAAGAUUACCAAAAGAACCUGGAACUUGACCAAUGAAAUUGUUGGAAGAAAAGUUUAACAGUCUUAGCCCUGAAAUAUUGCCUAGUGAAGCAGGGAGAUGACCUUCAAAAUUGUUAUUGUCCAAACAGAGAUGUUUAAGAUCUGGGAAGGUGUCACCAAAGUUCGAUGGCAGUGUUUUUCCAAGCAUAUUGGAAUAUAAGUAUAAAUAUUGGAGAGAAGACUGAUUGUAUUUGUACAGGGUUUCUGGUAUUCCACCUGAUAGCAUAUUUCCAGCAAGGCCUAAAUAAACAAGAGAUGGGAAACUUCCCAUCUCAUCAGGAAUGGUUAUUGACCGGAGAGGUGUCUCAGUCAUGUCUACAUAGUUCUCGAACCCGUAGGGUCCGCACGCUUAACGUUCGUUGACGAUAUAGUGUUAUAUGAGUUAUAUGAUUUGGUGACCGAAUGUUGUUCGGAGUCCCUGAUGAGAUCACGGACAUGACGAGGAGCUCAUAAAUAGUCCGGAGGUAAAGAUUGAUAUAUAGGACUGGUAUUCGGACACCGAAAGUGUUUCGGAGUUUACCGGAUGGUCAUCGGAAUAUCGGAGGGGGUAACGGACACCCCCGGGAGGGCAAUGGGCCUAUUGGACCAUUAGAGGGGAGUACACCAGCCCACAAGGGACUGGCGCACCCCCUAUGGCAGCCGCCCAAGUGGGAGAAAGGAAAGGGGGGAUUCAGCCUCCCCCUUCCUUCCGUCUCCCCCCUUUCCUUCCCCCCUCUGGCAAAUAUGGUAAGGGGCCGCCACUUGGGAAGGACCCCAAGUAGCCUUGGGCCUACUUGGGGGCGCCUCCUAGAUGCUCCCUCCUCCCCCCCCCACCUAUAUAUAUGUGGGAGGGGGCACCACACAUAACCACGACAAUUGCUUAGCCGUGUGCGGCGUCCCUCUCCACCGUUUACACCCUCGGUCAUAUUUUUGUAGUGCUUAGGCGAAGCCCUACGGAGAUAGCUUCAUCAUCACCGUCACCACGCCAUCGUGCUGCUGGAACUCAUCCACUACUUCGCCGUCUUGCUAGAUCAAGAAGGCGAGGACGUCACUGAGCUGAACGUGUGCUGAAUGCGGAGGUGUCGUACGUUCGGUACUCGAUCGGUUGGAUCGCGAAGAAGUUCGACUACAUCAACCGUGUUACUAAAUGCUUCCGCUUACGGUCUACGAGGGUACUUAGACACACUCUCCCCUCUCGUUGCUAUGCAUCUCCUUGAUAAAUCUUGCGUGUGCGUAGAAUUUUUUUUGUUUUCCAUGCAACGCUUCCCAACAUGAUUCACCUUUCCGAAAGCAGUUAAUGAGGACGAAAGCAGCCUUUUUUCAUAGGACUAAAUUCAUCAUUGGGAACAGUAAUUUGACUAGAUUCUGGGAGGAUACAUGGUUAGGGGAGACGCCUGUAGCCACACAAUAUCCGUCUCUUUAUAAUAUUCUACAUCGUAAGGGCGCUUAUGUUGCUAUAGUAUUAUAGUAUGUUUCUCUAAACAUCCAGUUCAGGAGGUCCUUAGUAGGAGACCGAUGGGACGCGUGGCUAUAUCUUGUGCGGAGGCUGAUGGACAUUCACCUCUCUGAUGAGCCAGAUUCGAUUCACUGGAAACUAUCUAUGAAUAGAGUUUUUCAGUGAAAUCUAUGUAUCUAGACUUAACUAAUUCUAGUCCAAUUCCAAAAUCAUUACAUAUUUGGAAGAUUAAAGUACCUUUAAGAAUCAAAAUCUUCAUGUGGCUUGUUCACAAGGAGGUGAUUUAGACUAAGGAUAACUUGGCAAAGCGAAGAUGGGAGGGUAGUAAGCGAUGUUGCUUUUGUGAUCAGGAUGAAACUAUUAAAAACCUCUUUCUCGAUUGUCCUCUUGCCAAACUUUUAUGGCAUACAGUUCAUAUAGCCUUUAAUGUCAGCUCUCCAAAUAGUAUUAACACAUUAUUUGAGGAGCUAUUUUACGGUAUCUUGGUACUCCCAAAACAUGUGCUGGAGUACCGAACAGAUCUUGCCGUUCGUUGUGAAGGGUAACUUAGUUAUUUUCCCACGGGUACUUCCGAUAUUCUCCCUGUGAUCUCGCAUGGAUGCCAAAUACAGCUCCCAAAAGAAAAACAAAAACUCCAGAUUGAGUGCCAGAAAAAGCUCCCGUUCGUUCGGCCGGAAAUCCCGAUCGCUCGGUGCCUAGCAAUGGAGUGGCCGCGCCACCUCAAACCUGAUCCUUCGCUACCGCAAGCCGCCCUGCUGCGCCGCCCGUCGAGCCGCCACCGGCCAACCCCUGUACUGCGCCAUGGUUGCGGAAACGAGUCCUCGAUCAGCUUCACGGCAUAGAUCUUGUUCCGGCUCGUCCCAGACGCGGAUGCUUUCCCGUUACUCACCUACGAAGGACGUGCAUAGCCCGCCGGCAUGGGCUCAUCCCGGCAUCUCCAGACGCUGCGUGCAUAUCAAUAUACUACGUUUUGCUUGUAAUUGAAAAAAAAGACGCCAGAAUACAUGGGAGGUUAUGAGGGGAACCACGAAUAUGAAAUAAUAUUAGAAUGUUAUAUAUGAUUACGGUUUUGCCCCUUAAAUCAAGGUACUCCAGUACUUUUUAACUUAGUACUCCGUUGGAUGAGUGAUGGAGUACCAAGCAAUACUGUCCACUGGAUCAAGAGAAAUGUACGGUCUAUAUUUAUUUCGGGGUACUGUAAAAGAUCUCUAUUUGAGAGGUGGCUAAAUGGAGUGGAACCAAACUAUGCGGGACAUAUCCGGAUAGGAGUAUGCGCAUUACUUUGGGCUAUAUGGAACUGCAGAAAUGAAAUAAUUUUUAAAGUCAAACUCAUAUAAAUAUUUUGCAGGUUAUCUACAGGGCCACUGCAUGGUUCCAUAUGUGGUCAUUACUCACUCUUGCGGAAGCCAGGGAGCAUUUGGCUAUUGGGUGUACCCGGUGAAAGAUAGUAGCAAAGGGUACUUACAACCGGUUUGGAUGUCAAUCCAAUAAUAAGCAAGGUGUUUAGUCAUCUCAACCUAUUUUCACCGGUUGUUGUCAACUUUUAUUUGCUCUUCUUCCUUUUUAGCUCCAUGUGAGCUUGUAUUGAACCGCGGACAUUUUGGUACUUUUGCUUAAUAUAUUAUGGCUGCAUGAAUCAGUCUGAUGUAGAGGCCGGGGAUGACCCUCCUUUUCAAAAAUAAAGUCAAAGCGUCUUCGGCUCGCUUCAGUGCUUAUAGUUGUUGCUAGGUGGUCUACGAAUCUGGAUGUAGUUUUAUUAUUUCUUGUGUUCGUUGUAUUACCAUGAUUGGAGAUGGAUAGAUCAGAAGUUUCCCGCAAAAUAAUAAGAAUUGCCAUAAGUUUAGUAUCGGAAAAAGUUAGCAUGAAAAGAUCAAGACGUGCCUAGCUUAGCUUGUAAACAAUACAAUGGAGUGGUUGGUAAUCGGCCAGCAUUGUUUAUGUGACACUCCCCUUUUAAUCUGUUUUGCUGAUUGAGCACUGAGAGCCACGAUCUCAGUGGAUCGUUUAUUGCCAAAGUGAAUGUUCGGAAGGUCCCAACCCCGUGAAUUACAAUAAUCAGGUAGUACAAUGAUAGGUCUGCUCUUGACGUCUUCUUGGUGAGCAUAAAAUAGGCCAAAGAAUACGAGUGACAUGCAACUAAGUAUUGUAAUGACGUAGUACAAUAAUCAGGUAGAACAUACUGUGUUUCUUCUCUCCGAGAGAUGGCCGGACAUGCGGGCAGAUCCAGUGUUCCUCCAAAAAAAAGUCCAUGUUGCCUUCAAGUGAGACGGAACUGUUAUUUUCAACAAAUAUACUCCGUGUCAUGGCACACCACCUUGCAGGUUAUUAUCAGACAGAUCCAGAUGGGUGAGCUGCUUUAAGCCGCCAAGCUCUAUUGGGAUGAAGCCCCAAAAAUUGUUUCGCUGAAGGAUUAGGUAUUCUAACUG
This 4849-nucleotide long non-coding RNA is filed under the name Triticum aestivum (bread wheat). Its description in RNAcentral is "long non-coding RNA (TAES_LNC013820)". Lineage: Eukaryota; Viridiplantae; Streptophyta; Magnoliopsida; Poales; Poaceae. The record is from RNAcentral.